This 449-nucleotide ribosomal RNA is filed under the name uncultured bacterium. Its description in RNAcentral is "SSU rRNA". It matches the Rfam family "Bacterial small subunit ribosomal RNA", at positions 26 to 518 of the family's 1533-position model. The record is from RNAcentral.
AGAGCGAACGCUGGCGGCAGGCCUAACACAUGCAAGUCGAGCGCCCGUAGCAAUACGGGAGCGGCAGACGGGAUAGUAACACGUGGGAACGCGCCCUUCGGUUCGGAAUAACUCAGGGAAACUUGAGCUAAUACCGGAUACGCCCUUACGGGGAAAGAUUUAUUGCCGAAGGAACGGCCCGCGUCCGAUUAGCUAGUUGGUGAGGUAAUGGCUCACCAAGGCGACGAUCGGUAGCUGGUCUGAGAGGAUGACCAGCAUCACUGGGACUGAGACACGGCCCAGACUCCUACGGGAGGCAGCAGUGGGGAAUAUUGGACAAUGGGCGCAAGCCUGAUCCAGCCAUGCCGCGUGGAUGAUGAAGGCCUUAGGGUUGUAAAGUCCUUUUUAACGGGGAAGAUAAUGACGGUACCCGUAGAAUAAGCCCCGGCUAACUUCGCGCCAGCAGCCGC